GUGCUCUCUCUGGCAGCAUGUAGGUUAACAAUUGGAAUCACAGAGAGAUUAGCAUGGCUCUUGCCGAGGAUGACAUGUAAAUUCAUGAAACAUUCCAUAUUUAA
RNAcentral lists this small nuclear RNA (104 nucleotides) under Mus spicilegus (steppe mouse). Lineage: Eukaryota; Metazoa; Chordata; Mammalia; Rodentia; Muridae. The record is from RNAcentral.